UGGGGGGGGAUGGGCCGGGCCAGACUAACAAUGCAAGGCACUUGUCCAGACCGUUUCCAUUAAUCAAGAACGAAAGUGGGAUGUUCGAAGACGAUCAGAUACCGUCCUAGUUCCCACUGUAAACUAUGCCGACCUGGGAUCAGUCUAGAGAUGUUACAAGCUCCAGAUUGGUCCCCCUGGGAAACCUCAAGUUUUUCGGUUACGGGGAGAGUAUGGUCGCAAGGCUGAAACUUAAAGGAAUUGACGGAAGGGCACCACCAGGGGUGGAGCCUGCGGCUUAAUUUGACUCAACACGGGGAAACUUACCUGGUCCGGACAUCGAUAGGAUACACAGACUGAUAGAUCUUUGUUGAUGCGAUGAGUGGUGGUGCAUGGCCGUUCUUAGUUCGUGGAGUGAUCUGUCAGCUUUAUUGCGGUAACGAACGAGACCACAGUCUCCAUUUAAGAAACAGAAGUAGACGACUGGUUGGUGCAGCUUGCUGUGCCCGUUAGUUGUUGUUAGUAAUUGUACGGGAAUUAAUUUCAGUUGUAGUGAUUGGGCAACUUUUCGUGAAGGCUGGAGUUGAUUGUUGUUAUAUUCUCUUCUGUCGUGUAGUAAUAGGUUUACCAAUUGCUGCCUUAUGGAGAGACAACGAGGUAUAAACAAGCUCGAGGAAGAGUGGCUAUAACAGGUCAGUGAUGCCCUUCGAUGUUCAGGGCUGCACGCGCGCUACAAUGAUAACGACAACGAGUAUCCGCGUCGAAAGACGUAGGUAAUCUUUAAUCGUUAUCGUGAUGGGGAUUGACCGUUGUAAUUAUCGGUCAUGAAAAGAGGAAUCCCUAGUAUGCAUAUUUUUAUUAGAAUGUGCAAGAUUGAGUCCCCUGCCCCUUUGUAACACACCGUCCCGUCUCUAACUACUGAGUGAAUGGUGGUGGUUCUUAGUCGAUUUCCAGGACU
This 937-nucleotide ribosomal RNA is filed under the name Myxobolus sp. 2 HK-2016. Its description in RNAcentral is "bacterial SSU rRNA". It matches the Rfam family "Eukaryotic small subunit ribosomal RNA", at positions 912 to 1728 of the family's 1831-position model. Lineage: Eukaryota; Metazoa; Cnidaria; Myxozoa; Bivalvulida; Myxobolidae. The record is from RNAcentral.